RNAcentral lists this ribosomal RNA (995 nucleotides) under uncultured bacterium. Its description in RNAcentral is "bacterial SSU rRNA". It matches the Rfam family "Bacterial small subunit ribosomal RNA", at positions 355 to 1375 of the family's 1533-position model. RNAcentral also lists the same sequence under 1 other name. The record is from RNAcentral.
UGGGGAAUAUUGCACAAUGGGGGAAACCCUGAUGCAGCGACGCCGCGUGGAGGAAGAAGGUCUUCGGAUUGUAAACUCCUGUUGUUGGGGAAGAUAAUGACGGUACCCAACAAGGAAGUGACGGCUAACUACGUGCCAGCAGCCGCGGUAAAACGUAGGUCACAAGCGUUGUCCGGAAUUACUGGGUGUAAAGGGAGCGCAGGCGGGAAGACAAGUUGGAAGUGAAAUCUAUGGGCUCAACCCAUAAACUGCUUUCAAAACUGUUUUUCUUGAGUAGUGCAGAGGUAGGCGGAAUUCCCGGUGUAGCGGUGGAAUGCGUAGAUAUCGGGAGGAACACCAGUGGCGAAGGCGGCCUACUGGGCACCAACUGACGCUGAGGCUCGAAAGUGUGGGUAGCAAACAGGAUUAGAUACCCUGGUAGUCCACACCGUAAACGAUGAUUACUAGGUGUUGGAGGAUUGACCCCUUCAGUGCCGCAGUUAACACAAUAAGUAAUCCACCUGGGGAGUACGACCGCAAGGUUGAAACUCAAAGGAAUUGACGGGGGCCCGCACAAGCAGUGGAGUAUGUGGUUUAAUUCGACGCAACGCGAAGAACCUUACCAAGUCUUGACAUCCCUUGACGAUGCUGGAAACAGUAUUUCUCUUCGGAGCAAGGAGACAGGUGGUGCAUGGUUGUCGUCAGCUCGUGUCGUGAGAUGUUGGGUUAAGUCCCGCAACGAGCGCAACCCUUAUGGUCAGUUACUACGCAAGAGGACUCUGGCCAGACUGCCGUUGACAAAACGGAGGAAGGUGGGGAUGACGUCAAAUCAUCAUGCCCUUUAUGACUUGGGCUACACACGUACUACAAUGGCGUUAAACAAAGAGAAGCAAGACCGCGAGGUGGAGCAAAACUCAGAAACAACGUCCCAGUUCGGACUGCAGGCUGCAACUCGCCUGCACGAAGUCGGAAUUGCUAGUAAUCGUGGAUCAGCAUGCCACGGUGAAUACGUUCCC